AUUGAACGCUGGCGGCGUGCCUAACACAUGCAAGUCGAGCGGUAACAGGUGUAGCAAUACAUGCUGACGAGCGGCGAACGGGUGAGUAAUGCUUCGGAAUCUGCCCAUGUAGUGGGGAAUAACCAGCCGAAAGGUUGGCUAAUACCGCAUACGACCUACGGGUGAAAGCAGGGGAUCGCAAGACCUUGCGCUAUUGGAUGAGCCGAAGUCGGAUUAGCUAGUUGGUGAGGUAACGGCUCACCAAGGCGACGAUCCGUAGCUGGUCUGAGAGGACGACCAGCCACACUGGGACUGAGACACGGCCCAGACUCCUACGGGAGGCAGCAGUGGGGAAUAUUGGACAAUGGGGCGAACCCUCGAUCCAGCGACGCCGCGUGUGUGAAGAAGGCC
This 390-nucleotide ribosomal RNA is filed under the name uncultured bacterium. Its description in RNAcentral is "bacterial SSU rRNA". It matches the Rfam family "Bacterial small subunit ribosomal RNA", at positions 30 to 416 of the family's 1533-position model. The record is from RNAcentral.